UUAUUAUUAUUAUUGCACGCAUUAUGUCUUCUGAGAGUGUGCGACUUUGGCAUGCUAAGCAAUGAGCGUAAUAUAAAAAAACGAACAGAAAGUGUCACGGGCGACUAUAGAAAAUUCGCUCGGCACGAAUUCCGAUCUCGACCUACCGCCAAGGUUGACGUCCGAAUUCGACUGUUAGUAGCAAAAUAAUCUUCGGUUUUUUUCGAAAAAUUUGAAAAACUAGUAGAAUUUCAGAUAUAAAAUCGCCUCUCCUUUUAAUAAUAUAAUAGGUACGAGCGUUACGCAAAAACGAUAACGCUCGAAAAUGUUCACUGUCCAAGCGGAAAUGUAUGAACGACGUAAAGAUGUUUUCACAUCAAAAAUAAAACGGUACCUAUGAUCAGCAUUAAAUUUAAAUUUUUUUUAAUUUUAAUUUUAAUUUUUAAUUUUAAUUUUACUGCGGCCUGCAUGAAUCGCACAAAUUCUGAUUGGUCGGUAAAUGAAAUAUAAUACUGUACGAACGUCGUGGAGGCGAACUCGCAUGAACGGCGUUCACAUUUCUUAUCAGUAGUUUCAUCAGUAGUUUCGUAAACCGUAAAUCCGUCGAGAUAGUUUAGAAUACUUGACAGGUUAGGAUUAUAAAUCCAAUUUAAAAAAUGUAGAAAAGUUGUUUUCAAAUAUAUUUUCAGAAGUUUUUUUAUGAUGAGUGAUAUCUAGCCAUCUAGGAGGCUGCGAGACUCGCUACCGGUGGAGGAGACAGACUCGUUGGAGUUAUAUAGGUAAAUGCUCGUGAUAUUUAAAAUGUUCUAUUACAAAAUGAUGACCGACCAAAGAUACCUCCAACCUCUAAUUGCUGACGGAGUUUUGUUUGAAGUGGGACUCCGUCACGUACAUGGACUUCCAGCACAAGGCCGUGGCCCGGAUCGUGCUCUCUGAGAUGCCAGGCUUGUGCCUUGUUCGUCCAAAACAGUUUGACAAGCUGCCGCUCUCUGUGUUAACAGGCAACACAUGACUAACCAUCCCCACAGAAUAUCUCAUAUGUUUCUGUUGAAAUUUAAGUCAGUUUCAUUGAAGAUGAGAUGUAUUGAAUAAGCCAGCUUGCGGUCGUGUUAUGCAGUGGACCUCCCUAACGUGGACCUGCAACAAAACAAAAGCCUACUGGAUGGCAGUGAUGGUGAACAUUUGAACCAAACAACACUAGAUAUGGUGCUUAAAUGAUGUAAGAACAAGCUGUAGAAGACUAAGCAGCUGUUUAUGCGGUUGCUGAAAUUGUUUUGAACAUCAUUCCACGUUUAAAACUUCUUGCCCAACGAUUGCGUCAUUUAAAAGUAUCACUUAGAAGCAACUUGGUCUUUCCCAAUGUUAGAAGUUUGGACACACACAUAAAUACUGUCACCACUGUCCAUGUGCAUGAAAAGUGGAUUAUAACAUGUUACCGACAAUUGCAAUAAAAAACAAGAGAAACCAGAAAAAUGUGCAAACUGUAAUGGAAACCACACAGCAGACUAUAAAGGAUGCCAGACCGUUAAAGAUUUAUUAAGUAUUAAAAUACGAAUCCGGAAAUAUCAAUAAAAAAAAAUUAUUCAAUUCCAACAUCUGCCUCACCACCUGUAACUUGAAGAAGCGCCUAGUUCAAAAGAAAAAGUUUACUUUUAAUAGAUAAUAAUUUAAGAAUAUUUGGAUAAUAAUAUAAUAUUACAUUUAGUAAAUACUUUAGUUAAAUUUUACUAGAAAUUAAGUAGCUGUAACUGAUGGCUUUUACAGUCAAGUUAUUAUGAAGACCAGUUAAAAAAAAGUAUAUUUCACAGUUAAGAGUACACCUCACCCGCAUGUGUUGUCUCCGUCUUACAAGUGCGUAACAUAGCAAAUUGUACGCUCAGCAGAACAUGUGUAGCUCCAUUAAUUUAAAAAUUAGUGUGAAUUGACCUCUCAUAUAAUCUAAAAGUAAGACUUAUCUAGACUGGGCUUUUUAUUAUAUUUUAAUUUUAAAGCGAGUUAUGAGUAUUUUAAGAUGAACAAACACUACAAUUUUAAAAUAAUCAUAACUCGCUUUAAAAUUAAAAUAUAAUAAAAAGCCCAUGAGGUUGUCUAAAUAAAAAUCUUACCUUUAGAUUUUAUAAGAGGUCAAUUCACUCUAAUUUUUAAACUAACGGAGCUACACGUGUUCUGUUGAGCGUACAAUUUGCUAUGUUACGCACUUAUAAGAUGGUGAUAACACAUGCGGGUGAAGCGUCCUCUUAAGAGAAUAUUUUAAGAGGACGUUAGCGCACUAUUUGUUUUCUUUCUCUGGCCCACGUGCAACAAACAAAACGUAUUUACGCAGGUAAAUUGUUUUAUGUUCUUGAGUAACUAUAAGAAUAAAAUCGCCGAUUACAAAAACAAUAAAGAAUAAUUUUUUUCGGGGGGAAUGACAUGAUUUGUCUAAAUAUUAUCUCAAAACAAUUUAAUCAUCAUCAAGUUCAAUUAACAAUAAAAUAUGAAACUGUCAUUCAAAAACAUUAUUCUCUAUAACUUUUGUAAUAGGUGAUUUUAUUCUAAGAUAACUAAAAAUUAUUAAAAAAAAAUGUUUGAUGAAAACGUAUUAUUUAUGUUGCGCGUGGGUCUAAUAGAGAAAACAAAUAUUGCACUGACAUCGUCUUAAGUAAUAAUAUUGUCAUAUUUUAGAAUAUUUUGAAAAAAAGUAAAUAGAGCAAUCAUAUUUUGAUUUUUUUAAGUUAUUUUCAUUUUUAAAAAGUUUAUUAAAAUUUUGUAUUUACAUCCCAACAACUAAUAAUAAAUAUUUGUUGUUUGCAAGUACUUAAAUGCAUUUUUAUGUAUUUAUUUUAAUUUGAUUUAUAAUAUUUUUAAUACAACACAAAUGACUAGUAUAUAAUAUUAUGCAUUAUUUCACUCUUUUAAUUGUAUUGUGUAAAAGAAAUAACUAAAGAUAGAAAUUAAUAAAUUGAAAUCAGAUCUUAUCAAGAAUAAAAAAAAUAUUUGUAAAUAAAUAGAUGCAUAUUAUUAUAUUAAGAAUAAUAUCUUAUUUUAUAUUAUUAUGUUUAAUAACGAAUUGGCCAUGGCCAAUGUAAUAUAUCUUUGGUGUAUGAUAUAAAUGUCUCAAGUCAAAAUUGAUAUUUUUGGCUAAUAGCAGUCAGUAAAAUUGUGUGUAGUAUGUCAUACCUUGUGUGGUACAUAAAUUGAAGUGUGUAGUAAGAAAUUUAAAAGUGUGUUAUUCAAAGUAAACCCUUAUAAUAUUGUGUAAAAUUUUAUUGCUCCACAUUUCUUUUUAUAUUUUAAUGGUUUUUUAUUUAACUAGAUUUUAACUAUUGUCUACAUUCUACUCAGUCACACAGUACUUAAGCAUUAAACAAUAUUUUGUGUUGUUACUAAUUAAUAGUUUUUAUUUAUUCGUAUUUCUUUGUUAUUGAGAGUAGCUAUUUUAUAACACUCCUAUAGCCGUCACUGGGUUUUUGUAUGUCAUACGGUCACUGUCACGGUGUAUUAAGUAGGUACCUAAGUAUUUCCUUAUAGUUUACUAGAUUAGUUUUUAGUUAAAGUUUUUUUUAUUUCUAAGUUUUAUACCACAAACUUAAUAAUUAAUAUAUGUUUAAUAAAAGUAAAUAAUAAGUACUACUUUUGGCUUAAAUAUAGUGUUACCUACUUCUCUUUAACAAACUUUAAUUUGAUGAAACUUAAUAUUACAACAAAAUGUACAUACUUAGGAUAAUUUAAAUGUUUUUUGUUAUUUAUAUUUAUUUAUUCAUAUUAUAUAUUAUUAUUUAUUAUCCAUUUUGUAGACUAAAAAUGAGUUUUAUAAACGAUGAUAAUAUCACUGAUAUAUAUUAACAACAUUAAAGCAUUGAUUAUAAAUACUAUAGAUCGCUCACUGGCUCGUAUUUACGCGAUGCAAAAUAUUGACGAAAAAUGGAUGUGGCCGUUAAGAAGCGCUGUCAUCAUCCAUUAGUUUCUUGUGGGCGACGACAUCUCUCCAUAACAGCUACAUCCAUAUUUUUUGUCAAUAUUUCGAGUCGAGUAAAUACGGGCCAGUGAGCGAUCUAUAUUAUUUAUAAUCAAUGAUUAAAGUAAUUGAUUGUACAAUUAUAUUAUUAUUAUUAUUGUACAUAUAUUAUUAAUGGAUACUAUGAUUUUUUUUUGGUAACUCCAACUAAUUCUAGUAAAAAUAUUGCUGAAAAUGUAACUAUUUAUGUUGAGUAAAUUUGAGUUAGUUAAUAAUUUAAUUUUGUUCACAGUAAUGAAAUAAUAUAUUUAUAGUUACAUAUAGAGCUGUAAAUUUUCAUGAACAUUUUUAAUAAUCCUGAAAAUUUUGAAAAAAAAUUUUCAUAUAGAUUUUUUAAUAAUUACAGACCAUUUGUUAAUUGUACAUUUAUAGUCCAAGAACUUAAA
Long non-coding RNA from Metopolophium dirhodum (rose-grain aphid), 4362 nucleotides. RefSeq lists it as uncharacterized. NCBI's taxonomy places the organism in Eukaryota, Metazoa, Arthropoda, Insecta, Hemiptera, Aphididae. The record is from RefSeq and is a predicted model, not a curated record. The transcript has 4 exons.